GUUUCGAAACUGGGACCUUUUGCGUGUGAGGCAAACGUGAUGACCACUACACUACAGAAACCCCCCUUUUCUAUUCUACAAUGGAUGGAAAGACAAGUAUGGGUUUCGAAACUGGGACCUUUUGCGUGUGAGGCAAACGUGAUGACCACUACACUACAGAAACCCCCCUUUUCUAUUCUACAAUGGAUGGAAAGACAAGUAUGGGUUUCGAAACUGGGACCUUUUGCGUGUGAGGCAAACGUGAUGACCACUACACUACAGAAACCCCCCUUUUCUAUUCUACAAUGGAUGGAAAGACAAGUAUGGGUAAGGAUUAAUGAAAAAUUCAGACAAGGAAUACCAAUGUGGAGUUUCUGCACAUUGCACUGGACCUGACUAAGCCCAUUUGAAUGUGUAGAGGAUUGACUGGUACUGUUGUAAGCUAGCCAGUUAUCUGUUGGUGAAAAUAAAACACAUAUCCCACAAUUGGGAGAAUACAUAUUUUCUCUAUUGUA
Molecule: long non-coding RNA, 494 nt
Organism: Cyprinodon tularosa
Lineage: Eukaryota; Metazoa; Chordata; Actinopteri; Cyprinodontiformes; Cyprinodontidae
Exons: 3
Source: RefSeq, a predicted model, not a curated record